UACGUAGGGUGCAAGCGUUAAUCGGAAUUACUGGGCGUAAAGCGUGCGCAGGCGGUUUUGUAAGACUGUCGUGAAAUCCCCGGGCUCAACCUGGGAACUGCCUUUGUGACUGCAAGGCUUGAGUGCGGCAGAGGGGGAUGGAAUUCCGCGUGUAGCAGUGAAAUGCGUAGAUAUGCGGAGGAACACCGAUGGCGAAGGCAAUCCCCUGGGCCUGCACUGACGCUCAUGCACGAAAGCGUGGGGAGCAAACAGG
RNAcentral lists this ribosomal RNA (253 nucleotides) under uncultured bacterium. Its description in RNAcentral is "partial 16S ribosomal RNA". It matches the Rfam family "Bacterial small subunit ribosomal RNA", at positions 524 to 776 of the family's 1533-position model. The record is from RNAcentral.